RNAcentral lists this ribosomal RNA (402 nucleotides) under uncultured bacterium. RNAcentral's name for it is "bacterial SSU rRNA". It matches the Rfam family "Bacterial small subunit ribosomal RNA", at positions 355 to 774 of the family's 1533-position model. The record is from RNAcentral.
UGGGGAAUCUUGCACAAUGGAGGAAACUCUGAUGCAGCGACGCCGCGUGAGCGAAGAAGCCUUUCGGGGUGUAAAGCUCUUACACCAGGGACGAUAAUGACGGUACCUGGAGAAGCAGCUGCGGCUAACUACGUGCCAGCAGCCGCGGUAAUACGUAGGCAGCAAGCGUUGUUCGGAAUUACUGGGCGUAAAGGGUGCGUAGGCGGCGCUUUAAGUUUGGUGUGAAAUCUCCCGGCUUAACUGGGAGGGUGCACUGAAAACUGGGGCGCUCGAGUAUGGGAGAGGAAAGCGGAAUUCCUGGUGUAGCGGUGAAAUGCGUAGAGAUCAGGAGGAACACCUGCGGUGCAGACGGCUUUCUGGACCAUCACUGACGCUGAGGCACGAGAGCGUGGGUAGCAAACA